AUAUUCAAGUGCAAAGUCAACAUAGCACCUAACAUGAAUUCUGCCUUAACAUCAAACAUCAACAACCUUUCGCCAGAAUCAUGGACUGUCCCUGUAAUGUUCUGUAUCAUUUUUGUGUUAUAUAUAUUGCAGUACAUGUUUUUGCCAUCCUCUAUGAAGUUCACUUUACUGUUACACUGAAACUCUACAAGGAAUAAGCCUAAGAAAGAUGGGAGUGUUUUUAUCACAGAUUUAUCACACUAGAGUAUUGUGACUAGAGUGUAAUUAGUGGUUGAAUAAGGCUAGCCGUAUGAAUAGUAUUGUUUGCCAUUAGACAUAGAAAUUAGAUUUUGUUAGGGGAGCACACUCUCUUGAAUGGAGUACUUCAUUCUGCAGGAGAUUCCAGCUAUUUUUGCAUUUUAUGUGUGCAGUUUUGUGAUUUGUUUUUAAUGAGACCUAUAGUUUCAGAAAACUUGUGUAAGCAGUUGAAGAAAAUGCACUAGAGCUGCUAGCUGAGGACCUGUGAGGCGUCUUUCCUCUCUGCACAGUUGUGCCCCGCGGCCUCUCGCUUCUCUUUCUAGCUCGGUUCAAGCCACUUCGCACUGUUCUAUGAAGAACGUAGUUCACACCUUUGUAAGUUCUCUUCUAUUUUGAAGUACACACUCUAAAAACACACUCACACUCUUUGUUACUAAUACAACCCUCAGCACCAUUAAUGCCUGUGCAUCUGUUGUUGAUUAUAUUUCAAUUAAUUGAUAUUUCAAUAUAAUGAUCUUUUUCAGUAAUGCACUAGAAAUGCAGUUGACCCACAGAUAGAUUCAUAGAUUCAAUAGUAGCACAAGAGGGGCGUUAGAAUGGCAGUUCUCAGUGAUCUAAUCGGGUCAGGUAGUGCAGAAAAAGGGAAUGACAAAGCAGGACGAGUGACAAAUGUCACCUCUGUAUCAACCUUCUCCUGAUGCUAACGGGAGUCCACAGGUCUCUAGCACUCUGUGUAAUGGUGGAGCCAAAAGGCAAACAGAGGUUUCUGAACAGUUUUAUUUUUCAGCUCCCUUUGACAGGAAAAUGCUUACAAUACAAAACACUGGUUAACUUAAGCAGUGGCACCCAAAUCGGGCAC
Clupea harengus (Atlantic herring) is the source of this 1096-nucleotide long non-coding RNA. NCBI's taxonomy places the organism in Eukaryota, Metazoa, Chordata, Actinopteri, Clupeiformes, Clupeidae. The record is from Ensembl.